CAGGUUUUUUUUUUCAUCAUACUAAGCAUUUGUCAGGCUGCUUCUUUAUUGGAACACUAUGAGGAGUGAUUCCCCAGAAGUCCCAGACUAAACUGGAAUUAUCAGGAACUCAUCGACAUAAAGACUGGGAUUUGGGUCAUAUUUUAGAAAAGUAAAAUUCCUGCAUGUUAUUCUACAGUGCUGAAUGAAUAUCCAUGAAUACUAAAUUGUUUUUCUGUAGGAAAUAUGUAAAAGCAUGCAAGUGAUCAUCAGCUGAUCUCUGCAUCUCUGCUCCAAGCUGAAUUGUGCAGUUUAGGAAACAACAGGGAAAAGAAAUUUAUUUUCAACUAGAACUUGAUUCUGAAAUAAAUAGGAGGCUACUUCUUUGCACAUUUUGCUCACGUCUGUGAGCUAAAAAGAAGAGGAAAAACUUAACAUUCAU
Long non-coding RNA from Melospiza georgiana, 421 nucleotides. RefSeq lists it as uncharacterized. The record is from RefSeq and is a predicted model, not a curated record. Lineage: Eukaryota; Metazoa; Chordata; Aves; Passeriformes; Passerellidae. The transcript is spliced from 3 exons.